CAACCCAAAUUAUUUUUGAAUCCGUUCUAGUCACAAUUUCGACCGACAACUGUGCGUUCUCGUCAUCAUUUAAAUAUGGAAACGUUAGUUAUUUGGAUUUUUAAGCUUUUCCCCUGCGCGUUUCACUUUUUGAUCUCGCUUUUGGCUUCCUUUCCAUCGUCUCUCGAUGAUGAGACUUUUCACAGACCUGUUCUGAAUGACUGUGAAUGUACUUUUUCUAUUCUGAAGUGAGACAUUUUUUUGGAAAGAAAGGCGGCUUCGGUGUCGCCUGCCCGCGUGUAGUCACGUGGCUAUGGCUAAUGCUAAAGCUAGCACCUCGUGCUUCUUGUAUGUCUUGCAGAUGCAGCCUGUUCGCGAAGCUACGUUAUUAAGCUCAGGUGGAGCUCGUUCAAGAACCUACUGGAUGGUCUUCUGAUCUUCAGGUAUUUCUAGUUUCUUUUCCAAAAAAUGAUCAUGGCUGCUGUGAUGAAUUCUAGAACUCUCUCUGACUGAACUAGUCUUUGAAGAGAACCAUUUUAAGUGUUAUUCUGAGCAGCACCCAUAGGCUAGUUCAAUGUUUCAUGUUAGGUUUUAAUAUUCUUUUCUGUUUGUAGAUGGGGGGAAAACAAACCUCUGGACUUUCUGGAUCAGCUGUUGGCUAACUCAUCACAAGCUACAAGGUGACUGAGGCACGAUGGCACAUCGUCAAACAUAAGUAAGCACUUGAAUUUGUCUCUAUAGGUGCAAUGAUGAUGACACUUAGCUCACUUUGACUUACUGUGAAAGGACACGAACAUCUGAGCACCUAAUAUUUAAUUGUAGAAAAUUGACAGUAAACUAAAGUCUUUGUGCUUCAACAGGCUCGAGGUGAGUGGGUGCGUUAAAAAAAAAGGCCCACCGGCGCUCUGCAGCUGAAAAUGAUGAGACACUACUGGAAUCUCGUUCGUCUGAAUACUGAUGAGAAUCACAAACCUGACGCCAGCCAUGCUUGAAUAGUUGCAGUGAAUGGAAAGUGUUCCCCAAAGCUCAUGACUUGUUUCCUCCCCUCAACCAGAUGUAUCCGCAUUUGGACCCCAUCUGCCAGGUGAGCAUUAAAAUCACGCAACAGCAAUAUGUGCUCCAUGCGUUUCUUUGGUGAUGACACCCGCACGCGUCUUACGCCAUGCGUCGAUGCCAGACCUGCAAAGGUGAACCCACUGGUGUUACCAUGGCAACAAGGGGACACCUUGUUGGGGUUUCCAACAGUCUGAAAAAGAAGUUUGCUGUAGCAUGGUGGCCACAUGUAAAGAAGCUAGCUAACAAUUUCCUUUAACUUUUCAGAUGGGAGGCGGCCAUUUCGUGGAGGUUGGCGUGUCUGUUUCGGCUACCAGGAUGCUGUUUUGCGCUGUCCGCGGCAGCCAUGUUGACUGGAUCGGCAUCUUGGAAAAUUUGGAAAUGCCCCUGCACACUGAAAGUGAUUCAUCGUAUUGACCCAUCUUUGAAAUAAAGAAAAAUAAAAU
Long non-coding RNA from Hippocampus zosterae (dwarf seahorse), 1478 nucleotides. RefSeq lists it as uncharacterized. The record is from RefSeq and is a predicted model, not a curated record. NCBI's taxonomy places the organism in Eukaryota, Metazoa, Chordata, Actinopteri, Syngnathiformes, Syngnathidae. The transcript has 6 exons.